CCGCGCCAGGUAGCUGGUCGCAUGUAUUGCACCAACUUCUGUGGGUGAGCAAGACCAGCUUUGCAGCUGCCCAGAGCUCUGCUUCAGCCUCCUGUCUGGUGAUGAGAUCACUAUGAGUCUGGUGGGAGCCAUUCUGAGCAGUCCAACCUGCAUGGCUGUGACCUGGAAUGAGCUACAGCAGAUACUGGGAAAAAUUAAUGGAAAUUCUUCUCUCCUUGGACUACUUGGAGGAAGCUCUAAUCAAAAGCUUCCCAAAUCAUGGUCAGCAGGACACUUGCUGUUGGUCUACAGAAAGCUGGCUGGUCACAUAAAUGGCUUAGUUCCUUUUUAGAUUUUUUUCUAAUGGAAAUUUAGCUAAGGGCCUGAUUCAAAGUCUACUGAAGUCAAAUGAAUGAUUCAAGCUGACUUCAUUGUGAUUUAGAUCAGGGCUAAGUGUUUUUUUUUCAGGCUUGGAGUUCAAAAGCCAGGAUGGUGCUACAUUUCUGAAAGACAAGAGUUUGCUCAUAUUAAUGCCUCAUUAUACCUGUUCCAUAGUACCACAGGGGGUGGGGGCGGGGAAAUCAUUCUGUGUGAUUUCCCCCACCCAAAUGAAGCAAAGAAGAGUAGGCAGCCAUGACAAAAGUUUCUCCUUGACAAGCGUACCAGAGCGAGUGUUGUAAAUCUCCAGUGACAGUGCUUUGCAGUCAUUGAAUGAAAUGUGCUGCAGUCUACCUUGCUUCUGUGUUUUAAAGAGUGAAAUACAACAUGGAGGGUGGAUUAUGAAAAAUAUUUGUAACAAUGCUUAAAACUGUAUUCUGCACUGUUUGUAUGUUGUCACUCCUUAAUAUAGCCUUUAAUCUUAAUGUAAAAACUAUAGAUGACCUUGUUUUAUGGGUGUUAUUGGCAAUUCUAAUCAGAUGGCCUGAUUUUCAAAAGAACUCAGCUCUCAUGUAGAUUCUUAAAAGAAAUGUCCAGAUUUUCAGAAGUCCUCAGCAUGCAGCAGUUCCAGUUGUUGUGCUGGGUACUCAGAUCUUUUGAAAAUCUGGCCAAUAUUGUGCAGUACAGCAAGUUAUUCACUAUAGGAAAACAAGUUUUUACCUUUUCCUCUUGGCAAUUCAAAAUAAUGCUGUCUCCAUUUGUAGCUCCCCAAACACCUUCCACGAGUGCUAUAAACCAUUUGAACUGUUAUUUUACUACAUUUUUAAAAAGUAAAGUGAUUUUGCAGUUGAA
Caretta caretta (loggerhead turtle) is the source of this 1209-nucleotide long non-coding RNA. RefSeq lists it as uncharacterized. Lineage: Eukaryota; Metazoa; Chordata; Testudines; Cheloniidae. The record is from RefSeq and is a predicted model, not a curated record.